UGCAGCUUUGUCAAAUUCAGUGCGCUCUCUUUGGUAGGCUGCACUGGCCAAAAUGGCUGCAACAGUGACUCUGUAGUUCAUGGGCCCCACGUUUCUUCACUGUGGAUCAUGGGGAUAAAUAUGUGCUGCAGACAAAA
Molecule: small nucleolar RNA, 137 nt
Organism: Amphilophus citrinellus (Midas cichlid)
Lineage: Eukaryota; Metazoa; Chordata; Actinopteri; Cichliformes; Cichlidae
Source: Ensembl